Molecule: long non-coding RNA, 206 nt
Organism: Orcinus orca (killer whale)
Lineage: Eukaryota; Metazoa; Chordata; Mammalia; Artiodactyla; Delphinidae
Exons: 3
Source: RefSeq, a predicted model, not a curated record
AAUAAAGACUGCCAGCCCCAUAAUACAAGAAGUUCAUGAAUCAUCGGGGAGGCAGAGGGACAGUUAGGAGGCUCUGGAGAGAGGCCAGCCAGGACUUGCCAAGGGUUGACCCAAGUUCCUUCAGAUGCAGCACUGCCCUGUUGCCACCUUGGUUUCAGAUUUCUGGUCCACAGAACUAAGAAAAUAAAUUAAUUUUCUUGUAAGCC